AGGCAGUGAUGACUAAAAUUAAUACCAUCAAACUAUGAGAGCUCUCACAUUGAGCUUGUUGAUGCUAUCUAAAUCAUCACUUUCUGAGCCU
Small nucleolar RNA from Tripterygium wilfordii, 91 nucleotides. RefSeq annotates it as small nucleolar RNA snoR116. The record is from RefSeq and is a predicted model, not a curated record. The transcript has a single exon. Lineage: Eukaryota; Viridiplantae; Streptophyta; Magnoliopsida; Celastrales; Celastraceae.